RNAcentral lists this transfer RNA (69 nucleotides) under Ictidomys tridecemlineatus (thirteen-lined ground squirrel). RNAcentral describes it as "Spermophilus tridecemlineatus (thirteen-lined ground squirrel) tRNA". It matches the Rfam family "tRNA". Rfam says of the family: Transfer RNA (tRNA) molecules are approximately 80 nucleotides in length. The record is from Rfam by way of RNAcentral. Lineage: Eukaryota; Metazoa; Chordata; Mammalia; Rodentia; Sciuridae.
GGGGUUGUGGCUCAGAGGUAGAGCGCUCACCUAGCAUGUGUAAGGCACUGGGUUUGAUUCUCAGCCCCA